Molecule: unclassified non-coding RNA, 245 nt
Filed under: uncultured fungus
Lineage: Eukaryota; Fungi
Description: sequence contains ITS1, 5.8S rRNA gene
Rfam family: 5.8S ribosomal RNA (bases 197-245)
Source: RNAcentral
UCUCCGUUGGUGAACCAGGGGAGGGGUCAUUACAGAGGUUUCUAACUCCCAAACCCAUGUGCACUUACCAUUGUUGCCUCGGCGGAGCCUACCCUGUAGCUACCCUGUAGGGUGGUUACCCUGUAGCGCCCCGCCGGUGGAUUUUCACACUCUUGUUAUUUUUAGUAAUCUGAGCGUCUUAUUUUAAAUAAGUCAAAACUUUCAACAACGGAUCUCUUGGUUCUGGCAUCGAUGAAGAACGCAGC